This is a long non-coding RNA of Nycticebus coucang (slow loris), 236 nucleotides long. RefSeq lists it as uncharacterized. The record is from RefSeq and is a predicted model, not a curated record. NCBI's taxonomy places the organism in Eukaryota, Metazoa, Chordata, Mammalia, Primates, Lorisidae. The transcript has 2 exons.
GGCGCCACCCCAUUCUUUUCCUAUCGAUUCUGAUGAUGCCGAAGCGAGACGUUCUGUAGCUCCUUGGCAACCUCUGGGCUAGAGUGCUGUGGCCUCCGCCUAGCCAGAAACCUCCAACUCCUGCAUUCAAGUGAUCUCCCGCCUCAUUUCCUAUAUUUCCUACUCAGAAUAGUGGAAAUACAGAUGUGAGCCACCACCUCUGGCCUUUACGCAUUUAUUAAAGCUGUAAAAUUCCA